CUUGUUUGAAACAAAACCUUCAAGCCUGGAAACUGAAGUGGUGGUAUGAAUUCAAAACUGAAGCGUCACAAAAUAGAUGGUUGGCUACAACAAACCAGAGACCUAAGGUGUCUAUGGUCCAUAUAUUCCUUUUUAGAGACAGCAUGACAGAUUCAAGCUUCUUCCUGACCUUUUCUUCAGCAGCACAAAAAAAAGGAGAAAAGAAGAGAGGCAACUAUGCAGAUGAAUAUGGCCAUAUGGGCCCGCAUGGCAAUGAUCUUAAAAUGGGCCCAAGUCAUGAAAUCAUAGAGUUAAAUAGUGACAAAGCUAAAAGCUUUGCUGAUGCUUCUUACCUCUAAAACGAUCAUCAGGAUAAA
This 356-nucleotide unclassified non-coding RNA is filed under the name Zea mays. Its description in RNAcentral is "misc RNA Zm00001eb288660". The record is from RNAcentral. Lineage: Eukaryota; Viridiplantae; Streptophyta; Magnoliopsida; Poales; Poaceae.